Molecule: long non-coding RNA, 1485 nt
Organism: Pteropus alecto (black flying fox)
Lineage: Eukaryota; Metazoa; Chordata; Mammalia; Chiroptera; Pteropodidae
Exons: 3
Source: RefSeq, a predicted model, not a curated record
UAUAAGUUGGUCCAUUUCCAUAGCUAUUUAUACUUGAAAAUGUAACUUUUUGGCAAAUAUACAACAGGAUAAAGCUAAAACGAAAAUAUGAAAGGAAAGGAAAACAUGUUCUUAUCUUCCUAAAGUAUCAUAUUUGCUACUAGGAAUUGUUUCUGAAUGUCAGCUAUCAUAGGUCCAAAAUUAAGUGCACAUAACUAGAUAUGUGCACUUAAUAUGCGUAAUAUUUGAAAAAGCGUCAAAACAGACACUGUAAAUUUCAACAGACAUAAAGCCUAAUAAUGAUCAAAACUCAUGUAUAAUUGACAAGCUCUACAAAGUCUAUAAAUAAUAAUUAAGAGAAAAAGAGCCUAAGUUGGUGCAGAAAAGGAGCUGAGUUGUUUUGGCAUUGUAAUUAGAAGUUGAUAACUAUAGAUUUUGUCUUCUCAGUCAGAGAAUGGUAUUUGCAGGCAGGGCAUGUCUCCAAUGUAACCUUUAACUUCUUAUGUAUGUACUACUACAAGUAGUUGAUGGUUUAAUAAAUAUUUUAUGAAUAUAAAUGAUACUGUUAGUUUUAAGUCAAUAUUUGACAAUUUAAAUUUGUGACUACAAUUUAUAGAUAUAUCAUUGAAUAAAUAGCAUCUUUAACAUGUAUUAAUUUGGGUUACAGAGUAAUUUAGCGAUCAUUUUUUUUUUUUGGAAGAUUGAAUCAAAAUUUACUUAAAACUGUUCUCUGAAGUUACCAGAAAUUUAGAGGGUUUUUUUUGGCGGGGGGAGUGGGGAGUGGCAUCCCAGGAUUUCUUCUUAAACAUAAUGUUAUGACUGCUUGAAAGGAGGUAAAUCAAAGUCAUUCACUUUGAGUUUAGAGUCAUUGCUCAUUAUCAGUUGGUAGGUGUGGAAACAACUUAAUAAAGUUUGGGUAAUGUAGUUUCAGUUUAAAUUCUCAACUGGCAAUUGGCCGAAAAUUCCCAUCUGAAGACGUGAGCAUCCAAAUGUCAUUUUGUGAUUUGGCUGCUGUCUGCUUGACAUAGGAAGGCCCCAUCAAGAAAAACUAAUGGAGUGACUAUCAAAAGAAAAUCAAUGGAAAAUCUUAAACUUCCACCACAAGAAGAUUAAAAAGAGGUCCCUCCUGCACCAAGAAAGAUCUGCAGAUCUUUUUCAGUGUUCUUGGAGGUGUGGGGUGUGAGAACUUGAUCAGUUUGUGUCAGCCACCUUGUUCUCUAAAGUAGAUCUGGAAUGGGAUCCCAGGAUUUCUAAGACUUUCUAACAAGUUCCCGUGUGGUGCCGAUGCUGUUGUUCUGAGGACCGUAUUUUGAGAACCACUGCACUUAACUAAUAACAGAGGAGCUUAACUUCACCUCCCCAACAACUAAAAAUUAAUGAUGUUUGAAUUGCAUGUAUUAAGGGUAACUUUGUGAUUCUUUUCUAUUAGGUUAUAUCAUAGAGAUAAAUAAUGACCUUUUUUUCAGGUAGUUGGAACUCAUUUCUUCAGUUAUUUAAACACCAAAA